Molecule: ribosomal RNA, 327 nt
Filed under: Exiguobacterium indicum
Lineage: Bacteria; Bacillati; Bacillota; Bacilli; Caryophanales
Description: bacterial SSU rRNA
Rfam family: Bacterial small subunit ribosomal RNA
Source: RNAcentral
UAACUGGAGGAAGGUGGGGAUGACGUCAAAUCAUCAUGCCCCUUAUGAGUUGGGCUACACACGUGCUACAAUGGACGGUACAAAGGGCAGCGAGACCGCGAGGUGGAGCCAAUCCCAUAAAGCCGUUCCCAGUUCGGAUUGCAGGCUGCAACUCGCCUGCAUGAAGUCGGAAUCGCUAGUAAUCGCAGGUCAGCAUACUGCGGUGAAUACGUUCCCGGGUCUUGUACACACCGCCCGUCACACCACGAGAGUUUGCAACACCCGAAGCCGGUGAGGUAACCGCAAGGAGCCAGCCGUCGAAGGUGGGGUAGAUGAUUGGGGUGAAGU